GGGGAUGUAGCUCAGCUGGGAGAGCACCUGCUUUGCAAGCAGGGGGUCAGCGGUUCGAGCCCGCUCAUCUCCACCA
Molecule: transfer RNA, 76 nt
Filed under: Chloroflexota bacterium
Lineage: Bacteria; Bacillati; Chloroflexota
Also listed under: 5 other names
Description: Chloroflexi bacterium tRNA-Ala
Rfam family: tRNA
About the family: Transfer RNA (tRNA) molecules are approximately 80 nucleotides in length. Their secondary structure includes four short double-helical elements and three loops (D, anti-codon, and T loops). Further hydrogen bonds mediate the characteristic L-shaped molecular structure. tRNAs have two regions of fundamental functional importance: the anti-codon, which is responsible for specific mRNA codon recognition, and the 3' end, to which the tRNAs corresponding amino acid is attached (by aminoacyl-tRNA synthetases). tRNAs cope with the degeneracy of the genetic code in two manners: having more than one tRNA (with a specific anti-codon) for a particular amino acid; and 'wobble' base-pairing, i.e. permitting non-standard base-pairing at the 3rd anti-codon position.
Source: RNAcentral